Molecule: transfer RNA, 66 nt
Filed under: Cryptonema producta
Lineage: Eukaryota; Metazoa; Mollusca; Bivalvia; Venerida; Veneridae
Description: tRNA-His
Source: RNAcentral
AGCUGGUUUAGUUUAUUUAAAAUGUUGCUUUGUGGUAGCAAAGAUAAUGUUAGGUUAACUAGUUUC